RNAcentral lists this non-coding RNA (22 nucleotides) under Rattus norvegicus (Norway rat). Lineage: Eukaryota; Metazoa; Chordata; Mammalia; Rodentia; Muridae. The record is from RNAcentral.
ACAUUCAGCGAACAUAGCAUAG